This 149-nucleotide small RNA is filed under the name Methylocella silvestris BL2. Its description in RNAcentral is "caulobacter sRNA CC2171". It matches the Rfam family "caulobacter sRNA CC2171". Lineage: Bacteria; Pseudomonadati; Pseudomonadota; Alphaproteobacteria; Hyphomicrobiales; Beijerinckiaceae. The record is from Rfam by way of RNAcentral.
AACGUAUCGGAAGGAGGUGAUCCAGUGUCUCAUUGUCAUUUGCUGCGGGCCCGGACCUGGACUCGCGCCAGUGAGGUUUUCGCCUCCUAGGCGUCAGGUUCGCGGAAACGCGGUCCGACAAUGGAAGGGUCGUCCGGGAAGGGCGGCCC